UUCCCAGACUCCUACGGGAGGCAGCAGUGGGGGAUAUUGGACAAUGGGGGGAACCCUGAUCCAGCGACGCCGCGUGAGUGAAGAAGUAUCUCGGUAUGUAAAGCUCUAUCAGCAGGGAAGAAAGAAAUGACGGUACCUGAGUAAGAAGCCCCGGCUAACUACGUGCCAGCAGCCGCGGUAAUACGUAGGAUGCGAGCGUUAUCCGGAUUUAUUGGGUUUAAAGGGUGCGCAGGCGGCACGGCAAGCCGGCGGCCAAAGCGCGGGGCUCAACCCCGCCCAGCCGUCGGAACUGCCGGGCUAGAGUGGGCGAGAAGUGCGCGGAAUGCGUGGUGUAGCGGGGAAAUGCAUAGAUAUCACGCAGAACUCCGAUUGCGAAGGCAGCGCACCGGCGCCCUACUGACGCUCAGGCACGAAAGCGUGGGUAUCGAACAGGAUUAGAUACCCGCGUAG
Molecule: ribosomal RNA, 450 nt
Filed under: uncultured bacterium
Lineage: Bacteria
Description: bacterial SSU rRNA
Rfam family: Bacterial small subunit ribosomal RNA
Source: RNAcentral